GACGAACCGUGCGAACGUUGUUCGGAAUCACUGGGCUUAAAGGGCGCGUAGGCGGGCCCUCAAGUCCGGGGUGAAAUCCUCCCGCCUAACGGGAGAAGAGCCUCGGAGACUGAGGGCCUCGAGGGGGUAGGGCGUGCGGAACUAUGGGUGGAGCGGUGAAAUGCGUUGAUAUCGGCUGGAACUCCGGUGGCGAAAGCGGCACGCUGGACCUCUACUGACGCUGAGGCGCGAAAGCUAGGGGAGCGAACGGGAUUAGAAACCCCUGUAGU
RNAcentral lists this ribosomal RNA (269 nucleotides) under uncultured bacterium. RNAcentral describes it as "partial 16S ribosomal RNA". It matches the Rfam family "Bacterial small subunit ribosomal RNA", at positions 524 to 794 of the family's 1533-position model. The record is from RNAcentral.